UACGAAGGGGGCUAGCGUUGCUCGGAAUCACUGGGCGUAAAGCGCACGUAGGCGGCUUUCUAAGUCAGGGGUGAAAUCCUGGAGCUCAACUCCAGAACUGCCUUUUGAUACUGGAGAGCUUGAGUCCGGAAGAGGUGAGUGGAACUCCGAGUGUAGAGGUGAAAUUCGUAGAUAUUCGGAAGAACACCAGUGGCGAAGGCGGCUCACUGGUCCGGUACUGACGCUGAGGUGCGAAAGCGUGGGGAGCAAACAGGG
RNAcentral lists this ribosomal RNA (255 nucleotides) under uncultured bacterium. RNAcentral's name for it is "partial 16S ribosomal RNA". It matches the Rfam family "Bacterial small subunit ribosomal RNA", at positions 524 to 777 of the family's 1533-position model. The record is from RNAcentral.